Molecule: small nuclear RNA, 107 nt
Organism: Tupaia belangeri (northern tree shrew)
Lineage: Eukaryota; Metazoa; Chordata; Mammalia; Scandentia; Tupaiidae
Source: Ensembl
GUGCUCACUUAGGCAGCACACAUACUAAAAUUGGAACGAUACAGAGAAGAUUAGCGUAGCCCCUGUGCAAGGAUGACACACAAAUUCAUGAAGUGUUCCAUAUUAAA